RNAcentral lists this non-coding RNA (172 nucleotides) under uncultured Yoonia sp. Its description in RNAcentral is "Ruegeria cis52 sRNA". It matches the Rfam family "Ruegeria cis52 sRNA". From Rfam's summary of the family: Cis-encoded. Lineage: Bacteria; Pseudomonadati; Pseudomonadota; Alphaproteobacteria; Rhodobacterales; Paracoccaceae. The record is from RNAcentral.
GCAGUGCAUGUCGGAGCACGAUUGUUCGGAAUGCCACGCCCUUUAGGCGUGCGGUGCGGAUGUAUUGUGCUGUCAUGACUUCGGUCAUUGAUGCCCGUGUCAUGCGCGCGAUGUACCCCAUGCCGUAAAGCGAGAUGGUCAUCACGGGCAGGAAGAAGUUCCAGAAAUUGGC